CACACUCACUGCACCCCUGACACGCACAGCACACACUCACUGCACCCCUGACAUGCACAGCACACACUCACUGCACCCCUGACACGCACAGCACACACACACUGCACCCCUGACACACACAGCUUCCUCAUACGCACAUGGCACCCUCACGCAAACAAAGCACCCAAUCACACACAGCACACACACACAGCACCCUUACCCACAUAGCACCCUCACAUAAACACAGCACCCAAUCACACACAGCACACACACACAGCACCCUUACCCACAUAGCACCCUCACGCAAACACAGCACCCAUCACUAACACACUACACACCUCACACACACUGCACCCCUCACACACACUGCACAAUAUGCUUUCCUGGCAUUUUUGUCUCCUGGUAUCCCAACUAUGGAGACACCAGAGACAAAUUUCAAGCAAACACAGUGCAAGCAUGUUAUUAAAUUUGCUUGCGCUGUGCAGAACAAAUACAGGGUCUUUUUCUCAUGCCAGAGCUCUUCAGCAGAGCUCUGCGCAUGGUCUACCCUGGAA
This is a non-coding RNA of Pelobates cultripes (western spadefoot toad), 533 nucleotides long. The record is from the annotation of a GenBank genome assembly. Lineage: Eukaryota; Metazoa; Chordata; Amphibia; Anura; Pelobatidae.